This 3123-nucleotide long non-coding RNA is filed under the name Podarcis lilfordi (Lilford's wall lizard). Lineage: Eukaryota; Metazoa; Chordata; Lepidosauria; Squamata; Lacertidae. The record is from RNAcentral.
CAUGGGCCAGUCUCCUCCUCAGCCUAACCUACCUCACAGGGUUGUUGCAAGGUUAAAAGAUGGAGACCAUGAGACUACUGUUGAACCCCCUAAAGGAAGAAAAUAAUUUUAAAAAACUUCAUGUGAGAGGUAUAUGUGUAGUGUUUUCCACAAUGCUUGGAUGUUUAGGUGGUUUAUUGUGUCUUAAAACCCGAAGAAUGCAUUUCUGUUGGUUUUCAAAUUGUCAUGAGGUUUUCAUUGCAUGUUGGAGGCUAAUAUCUGUUUAAUACUGUGACAAUUUCUUGUGCUGGAAAAAAAGGAAAUUAGAAUUUUAAAGCUAUGAUUCAUUUUAAUCAGAAAUUGUCAAGCAUAAAUCUCUUCUUGAGUAGUGGAAAAGACCCUAAAGCGAGCAGGGGAAAAAAUAUCAAUACUUUGCAAAGGAGGAAUGAUUGUUCCAAUUCGCAGCUUAAUUGACUUUAAGGCUUAAUGAAAAACACUCUGGCACAGUUUGUAAACACAUUUGCUCAGGAGAAGGCUGAAAUCCUAUCCCAUGAGCUGAAGAACUCAGGGGCUUAUUCUGUAUUAUAUUAUUGACACCAUUGAAUGAAAGAGUACCGUAAUGAUUGAGUAGGGUUUUCACAGCUCCCGACUGUAUCCAUCUCUUUAAGAAAUACUUCAGAAUAUACACAAACAGAAUUAUAGGGUUGGAUCCAAAAGAUAAUUAUAAGAAAGCAAACAUCUACUAGCACUAUUUUGCAAAUGCUUAAGAGUUUACACAGUUCUACAAUGGGAAGCUAGGUUUUUGUUUGUUUGUUUGUUUUGCUACUUCCUAGAGCAAGGGUUCUCACACUUCCUACUCCCAGGGCCCACUAGAGAUGACUGAAAAUCAUAGCCUCAUCAAUCAUAAAAUGGUGGUGCAAAGUUGUACGAAUGGGAGUUAAAUUUGGGCAUAAUCAGCAAAUACAGACACUGCUUUCUACUGAUAUCUAAUCCAUUUCUGGAAAUUGCUAAAUCAUUGGCCACCGCAUUUUCCUUGCAGCACAGAGUUCAAUAGCUAAGCUUUCCUAAAGCCUCAUUUUAGGCAAAAUUUGCUGAGAGGCUAUAAAAACUAUACCUUAAUAUCCUUUAUUGUAUUUAACAGCCAGAUCCAAGUUUUGAUAGUGGUCCAAUACCUUAGCUUUUCAUGGCAUUCCUGUUAUAUCUGUACACGUUUAGAGAUAUAAUGCACAAAUUAAAUAGCUAUCUAGUUUGUUUUCUGAGAAUCAGAUGGUUUGAAGAAUUUAGAUCAGCACUUUUAAGCUGCUUUUAGAAUAUGGAACUUUCAAAUUCUGAGUAUAAAUUAGCCUUCUUUGGACUGCUGAAGUCAUUCAUUGUAGUUUAGCGUAUCAUUCUGUGUAAUUCUGUAGCACCAUUUAAGACAGGUGUGGGGAAUCUUUUACCCUCUAUAUGUUGCUGGACGAACAUCCCUGGCCAUUGGACAUGCUUGCUGGAGCUGCAACAUCUGGAGGGCCAGAGGUUAUUCACACCUGAUGCAAAACAAUGCAGUUUUUCACAAUAAGCAUUUCUCAGUCAGCCACAGCAACAAACAUGUUAUUGCUGAAAACGUGGUUGCUAUCACUAUAUUGCCAGUCAUGCCUCAGUCCCCAUCCCAACUUUGUAUACAUUCUUAUCAGAAUGAGUCUAUGAGAAGGCUUUGUUUGCCUUCAUUGACAUCAUCACAUAGACAAAUCUGUGGCAUGGUGACUGUUUUUAUUCACUGUUUGCUCACUGAUUGGCUGGAAUAAUGCAAGAAAAACCUUUCCAAGUUAAAAGAUUAAAAUGGCAGAAAAUUAGUGGCAGAUCAAGGAAACUGUGGCUGCAAUCAUACACAAAGAUGACCGGAAUAGCAGACGGCUGGGUUUCUCCUUGGACCUUUUGGUCAUGCCUUCCAUUGUUGACAAUAUCAACAACUGAACCUCAGGAACAUUCAGUGAAGCACUAGUUUUUUUUAAUGAUCUGUAAGUAAAUGAAUGUGUUAAAAAGCAAAUGGGCAAAUUAAAGCAAUUUAACAGCUUCACAAACAACUGCAUGGAUGAACUGUUGAGAUACACUUUUUUCCCCUUGUACUAUAAACAUAUGGCAUGAAUUUGCUUCUCUCAUUACAGAUGCUGAGAGAAGGGAAAGACAAAUAUUUAUAGUACGUUCAUGUUUUACAGUAAAAACACUGUUCAGUUUGUUUAUACAGUUCCACUGUUACAGUUUUUAUGGUUGGUAAUGAAACCACUGUAAAAUAGGGUCUGAAUUAUAUAGCAGAUGUGUUGAGCCUUUUGCACUCUGAAAGGCUGGCCCAUUGUUGAAUUGUGGAUAUCAUUUAUACCAAAUCAAUGUCCUGAGAACAGCUGAACUGUUUCAGACCUUUGUCUGUGUGUAUCACUAGCCUUGUACUACCAACAUAAUAAAGAUGUGAUUUUUAUGAUCCAAAUAAAUGCAGCAAUUUUCUUAAAAGUAAUUAGAUUUUGAAAUACAAAAGCUGCCUCUCUGGUUCAUGUGGGUGAGCAGAAGAUACUUUAAAAGAUUUGGUAGGCACUUUUCAAGAGUCUUAUGGAGGUGUUCCAAAAAGGUUAAGUGAUGUAAUGUUACUACUUGAAUUUUUCACCAUUAGAUUUUGGUGAUUUACAAGGAAGUGUAUUUAUUAAGCCUAUGGCCAAGUGAACAUGAGGAUUCACAUACAGGAACUUUCCUCUUUCCUUUUGUGGGCAGGAGCUUAUGUCCAAUAUAGAAUUAAGAGUCUGCUCACUUGAGAGAACAGGACGCACUGGUGUUUAUCUGCAUCGGAGUACCUUAGUCAUUUAUUCAUAUCAUUUAAUAUAUAUUGAAGCUUUCAAAAUUGUAAAAAUUGAGUAUUUUAAAUCUCUCUAUUUAAAAUUUCAGAUACAAAACCUGACACAGGAGUUAAUGGUAUAGAUGGGUUUGGAUGCUGUUUGGAGUUCAAGUCUAUCUCAGAUUGGGAGAAGUGGACAGGAAUGUGCACAUCUCUGCAGAAUGCCAACAACAUUGGGGUUGUGUGUAUAAGUCUACAUAUAAACGAAUGUACACAUUCCAGAUUCAUUCUUGCAUAAAGCAAGUUCUGUUUAUAAUUUAAUUUUUGAAGAAGUAAACUUGCCA